AUGAGUGCGGUUACGCAGAGUGUUCGGUCCGUUCAAUCUGGACUGAACGAUGCUGUCCAAGGCCUUCUGACAGGCUUUGAGGCAUCUUCCAUGGCCGCAGCUGCUAAUGCCGCAACGUUAGAGGAGAUAGAUCAGAAGCUUAAGCUUUCUGAUCAGGAGCUUGACCUUGUUAACAAACGGCUUGACGAGGCGCAAACUGCUGCCGCCGAGGUCGAGGGCUUGAGGGAGGCCCUGAAGAAGGUCAAGGUCGAGGCUGCCGAGAAGAAGACAGCCGCUGAGAAGCGGUGGUGGGGCUUGAGCAGGCCAGGCUUGCUGCCGAGCAUCAUGAGGCUUGGGUGA
This 339-nucleotide ribosomal RNA is filed under the name Triticum aestivum (bread wheat). Its description in RNAcentral is "partial small subunit ribosomal RNA". The record is from RNAcentral. Lineage: Eukaryota; Viridiplantae; Streptophyta; Magnoliopsida; Poales; Poaceae.